Oncorhynchus mykiss (rainbow trout) is the source of this 359-nucleotide long non-coding RNA. RefSeq lists it as uncharacterized. The record is from RefSeq and is a predicted model, not a curated record. Lineage: Eukaryota; Metazoa; Chordata; Actinopteri; Salmoniformes; Salmonidae.
CUGUUAGAAGGUAACAGAUUAUUUUAUUACAAUGGUUCAAUUGGAUUUUCAUUGUGUGCAAUGGUGUUAUUUGCCCCCUAGUGGAUGUUUCUGGUACUUAGAAAGACUACGCAAACAGGAAGUAGAGAAUUUGUUCUGCACGCAUAGAAGCAGCUACAAACAACGCUACGGUGCAGGUCUUUCAAUGUAGUUAUUUCUUGUCACGCUUCAGCCUUGGAAAAUAUUUGUUUUUUCACAACAUAAACGUUUUCAAUAUAUUCAUUCAAGAAAAGUCACGCCUUGGGAGUUUUAUUGAAGACUUAGUUGUUAGCUAUCUGUCUAGUUUUGCAUGGGAACGCAACUCAAGGGCAGAAUAGUGA